CAGGAGCCGUGGCUCCAGGAGCGGUACGAGGGCGAGAAGUGGUACAGCAACGCCCCGACCAUUGCUUGCACGCCCUGCGAGGUGAAGGAGACGAGUGCGUCCGUCUGAGAGCGGCGCAGCGAGCCUUGCUUGACACCUAUUCAGGCUCGAAAGAGAGC
This 158-nucleotide non-coding RNA is filed under the name Scrippsiella trochoidea. Lineage: Eukaryota; Dinophyceae; Peridiniales; Peridiniaceae. The record is from RNAcentral.